CAGUUAUUUAUUUAUUUUUUUCUUAAACCUCCUAAGUCUGUAGACAUUCCUAAGAAACACGCAGUCAGUCCUGGUGAGAGUGAAGUCAAGUUCUGGAAUCCUCAUUCCGAAUCUGCUGCCAGAUUCUCGAGAGAAUCUGGAAACAGAAAGCUAAGUGUUUUGUAUUUGUUCCAGACCCCCCCACCCAGGAAAAAAAAAUAGGAUUACAGCAUUCAUUUUGUCUAAUUACUUUUACUUCUGUCCUUUACAGGGCUGCUGAAGACCCAUGACCUUCACUACCGAACUGCUUCAUUGGAGGGAAGGAAUUGCCUUGAUGUCUAGGAUUCCAAGUGGUGUGAGAUGUUCCUGACCUUUGUUCAGUGACACACUCAACUAGACCAUCCUUUGUUGUGAAGCUGUCUUCUGCAUUCUGGGGUGGUUAGCAACAUCUCUUGGUGAUGUCGACUGAUGCAGUGGCAAAGCACGACUCUCACCCACCACGCAUAACAUUCAAUCACUGUGUUUCCUGAAGAAAAGCUGCCUCAGAAAGAGAACUACUACAGUGUUUGAGGGCAACCCUCUCUUCAUUCUAAAGCCAAAUGCUGCCAGCAGCUGGCAUCCUCAGCUGGCUGAAGAAUCACGAAGUGUAGACAACAGAGAGGGAAGGGAAUGCUACACUGAAAAGUGAAGGCUUCACUCUGUCGAAUAUGCAGCUAAGCUCCAGGAAGAUGAAUUCUAGACACACCAAGCCUCCCAAGAAAAGACUGAUUUUUUUCUGACCUGGAUUUCAUACUCACCGGUCUCAGCAGCAUCUGUGUGUUGAAAUAUGGGCAAAUCUGGACAAAGAGAUUUGCAACUUUGCAAAUCUUUAUAGUCUUUACCAUCUCUGUCAUCACCUUUCCUUUUUAGAACCUUAUUCUGUGCAUUCUCCCAUUCAGGUUUGACCCUUCAUAGUUUCUGAGAUCAGGCACUCAGUUCAGAUCCUGGCUGGCCUCAUUUCCUCUGCCCAUUCUCAAGCCAGGCAAUGGAAUGGCUUCACUUGGACCAUAUGGAGGGAAGGUAGAAAACAGUGGUUCACUUCCAUAUUUGCUGCUCUGAAUACAUAGUUUUCAGGUUUCUGACAUCAUAUGAGAGACACAUCACUGUUUCUAAAAUGUGGUGGGAAAGAGCACAAGGGACAUGAAGGAUGAGAUCUAUGACUGAAGGACCCCUUUCCCCCAUGCUCACAGGUGCUGCCUCUGAAGACUCAGACCUAAAAACAAAACCCAGAAUUCCAGGAGUCUUUAAUACACAGAAAAAUUUCAAAUUGGAAAAUGAUUUUUUUUUGUAGCCUUUUAGCAUCAUCACCCAGUGUUGCCUUUAAAACAAACAAACAAACAAAAACAAAAAGACAGACAGACAAACAAACGUCUUGAAAGUACUCCGGUUCAGGCCUAUGAUCUAGGAACUUAUUAAUUUUAAUUUUUCUCUUGGCACUUUCACCUCCACUCUCAUUUAGUCAGCCUGUAAAAUUAUGAUGUUAAUCAUUGCCUACCUAGCACACGGUAAUAAUUGCUAAUUAACUAAUUUUUAUAUGUAGAAACCUGUGAAGACAUUACAUGGGUGCUAGGCAUUAUUAUUGUCUGGUGGUGCUAAAGAACACUGUUCUGUUUGAGGGAGACGGGUUACAGUGUCUGCCUACUCUCCGUGGGAAUGGAAGCUUAGAAGGCCCAUCCCUCAAUGCAUCAUCUCCUCCCUGAUUGAUCUGACAAACACAAUCCUGAGGUGAGAUGGUACUUGCCUGCAACAAGCAGUGUGGCGGGCAGUAUUUGACGAGGAAGCUCUGCAGCAGAAUUUCAGUUGCUCUGGGGUUGGCACCUGCUGGGAUCUAAAUGUCAAGGACAGAACGUUGCAGCACUCCAGGAGGCCUCCCGUUCUUUGAGCCCAGUACGCAAGCGCCUUCACGGAAAUGCUCUUCAGGAGCUGGGAGAAGGUUCACUCCGUAACUUGUGAAGUGCUUGUUGCGGGUGAGGAUCUGAGUUCAGGUCCCCAGGACCCAAAGGAGAUCUGGUGCAAUCUCAGUGUUAGGGAGGUAGAGACACACAGAUCCCUAGGUCUCUCUAGCCAACAAGUCUAGGUGAAUUAGUGAGCCCCAGGUUCAAUGAGAGAUUCUGUCUCAAAAAAUAAGAUGAAAAGUGAUUGUGGAAGACACCCAGUGUCAAUGAUUAUGCAUACCCGCAUGCUCACAUGCCUGUACAUAUACCCCCUCACACACACAUACACACACCACUACCAUUACAUCAUCCAGAAAAGGAAGUUUACCUUUUGCUUUAUUUCUUAGUGAUUUUCAAAGCUUAUAAGAGAAUUCUCUUCUUCUGGGGUAGCUUUGCGUGAGUCACUUUUGAACCAAGAAACUGUGACAUCGGUUUUGUUUGAAAUCUUGUCCUGAAACUGUGGCUUCAGUGCCCAGAUCAAGUGGGCACUUGGCAAUUAAAAAGUCUAAACAAAA
Long non-coding RNA from Meriones unguiculatus (Mongolian gerbil), 2467 nucleotides. RefSeq lists it as uncharacterized. NCBI's taxonomy places the organism in Eukaryota, Metazoa, Chordata, Mammalia, Rodentia, Muridae. The record is from RefSeq and is a predicted model, not a curated record. The transcript is spliced from 3 exons.